AAAACCGGAAGAGGCGCGUCGGCCAGGUAACGUGUGCGAGGAACCCGUCCUACGACCACACGCGAGGGGGAACGACGCCGAGAUGGCGCGCUGUCUGGUAAGGCGCGUCAUCGGCUGCAGGGGCUGAAUCCCCUGGGCUGUCACCCGAAACGACGGCAGUCGAACGUUUCGCAAGGUGGAGCGCUUCUGGGUGU
This is a regulatory RNA element of Cronobacter sakazakii ATCC BAA-894, 194 nucleotides long. It matches the Rfam family "Lysine riboswitch aptamer". Rfam says of the family: Riboswitches are metabolite binding domains within certain messenger RNAs that serve as precision sensors for their corresponding targets. Allosteric rearrangement of mRNA structure is mediated by ligand binding, and this results in modulation of gene expression. NCBI's taxonomy places the organism in Bacteria, Pseudomonadati, Pseudomonadota, Gammaproteobacteria, Enterobacterales, Enterobacteriaceae. The record is from Rfam.